AUGGAGUUAGAACUUCUUAAAUUGGUGCUAGUCCUUCCUGUUGCGACAGCCGGUGUUAAGAGAGUCUUUUCAUCAAUGAACUAUAUAAAAAACAAGCUAAGAAGCAAGAUGGGGCAAAAAUACUUGAAUGAUUGCUUGGUCACAUUUGUUGAAAGGGAUUUCUUCUUCCAAGUUAAGGAUGAGGACAUCAUCACUCCUUUCCAGAGCAUCAAAGAUCGCAAAGUUACCUUGUAA
This 234-nucleotide ribosomal RNA is filed under the name Triticum aestivum (bread wheat). Its description in RNAcentral is "partial small subunit ribosomal RNA". Lineage: Eukaryota; Viridiplantae; Streptophyta; Magnoliopsida; Poales; Poaceae. The record is from RNAcentral.